RNAcentral lists this long non-coding RNA (1457 nucleotides) under Vitis vinifera (wine grape). RNAcentral describes it as "long non-coding RNA (VVIN_LNC001336)". The record is from RNAcentral. Lineage: Eukaryota; Viridiplantae; Streptophyta; Magnoliopsida; Vitales; Vitaceae.
GAGUUAAUAUUUUCUAUAUGGAGUUGUAAUAUGGUGGCUCAUCUUGUAGAUGAAUGUGACAGAUUUCCAGACCAGCUAAAUUUUUUGUUGGUGAUUCGUUCAAGCUAAGCUAAUUAACUUUUGGUUAGUACAAAAAUUAUAAGAAACAUGAUAUGGUAUGUACAUCAUAAUACAUUUUUAGUAUAAAAUCAUAUGGAUCACUGAUGAGUGAAGCAUUUUCGGGGUAUCUUAUGACACAUUUACAUUACAUACAGUUGGAUCACAUUUAACUGUCUUAUUAUUUUAAAAAAAUUCUUUGAAAGAUCUUUGUAUUAUUGUUUAAAACUGUGCUUAGGAAGGGAAGGAAGAAUUUGAUCCUAUUAGGAAACAUUACAUGCGUUGGAACGUAAAGGGUAAUUAUUGUUCUAAUGAAUCCUAUUUCAAUAUAAUACAUUCUUGUUCCUAUAAAAAAAAAAUAUUGUUCUAAUGAAUGCUGUGGAGGUGUGAUUUGAAGAACAUAUGCUAUUAGAAUGAUUUAAUUGUUGACCUUGUGGAUGAUGAUGAAUGAAUAUUGAAUUUGCAUAAUGUAAAAGUUUUGUUUGUUGACUUUUUAUUUUAUUUUUUAAUUUUAAUUUUUUCCUUCUAGGUGGGAUAAUGAUGAACCUGGAAAGUUAGAGCUUUCGACAUGGCACACAUAUAUUUCAGUAGUCCUGUGCUUGAUCAUAAUUUCUUUGGCAUGUUGGUUGGGACUCGUAGCAGCUUGAAACUUUUGGCAUACUGAUAUUUAUUAGUGGCACUAGUAGGAACUUGGAAUUAAAAAUUAAAAUUAAAAGUUUUGAAAAGUUUAUUUUGUGAUUUUAUGAUGAUGAAUCCAUGUAUUUAAAAAUGUUAUAUUUUAUUAAAGACUUUGUUUAUUAACGUUUGGAUAUAUCUAUAUAUAUAUAAUAUGAAUGCUUAUAUUUACCUCUUUAACCUUAUCAUCUUUCUUGAAUUAAUUAUUGGUCUUUUUUUUGCUGUAUGUACAUAUAUUUUGAUAGUGCAUACAUCUUGUGGAGAUGGGUUCAAACCGCCAACCACACAACAUAUAUAUAUAUAUAUAUAAUAUGAAUGCUUAUAUUUACCUCUUUAACCUUAUCAUCUUUCCUGAAUUAAUUAUUGGUCUUUUUUGCUGUAUGUACAUAUAUUUUGAUAGUGCAUACAUCUUGUGGAGAUGGGUUCAAACCACCAACCACACAACACCAUAAUAUGGAAGAAAUAGAAAAAUGAUCUUUGAGUUGACAAUUAUUUUUUUUCGAUAAAUAAACAUCAAUAUAUAAGCAAAGGCAAACGCCGCAAAGCAUACAGGGAGUAUACAAGGCGACAAAGGCCACACAACAACAACAAAAACGAGAACAACAAAAACCCACCAGCCCUCAACUGGAGGCUAUCCACUCCAGGAAUCCUAUAAGGGACCGGGACUCCGCACCAUUAUACAAUUU